UAGACUGGACUAGCUGUUAGUCCAAUACUGUGUUGUUCCAUGCUGGGACUAACAUUAAUGAGACUAAAGGGGACUAGCAUGGACAAAACCCUUCACUAAGAGGUCUUAGCGAGACCCCCCAAUAACCAUGGGACUAGCUAAGACUAUCUUCUCUCGUCCUCGUCAUGCUCAACAACCACUCCCGAUAGACUCCCCGUCAUCUCCGGUCACCUAGAUCAUAAUAAAAUAUUAAUAAUUUAUAUAUUAAAUAAUAUAAUAUUAGAAUUUGUUAUUAUCCAGCUUCUUAGUCCAACACUGCACCAAACGCUUCACUAAGUUAGUCCAGCUUAGUCUAGUCUAAGCCAGUCCAGCUUAGUCCUUGAAGCUAGUCCAGUCCGAGAUAGUCUGGCGCAACAAACGCCCCCU
Molecule: long non-coding RNA, 405 nt
Filed under: Malus domestica (apple)
Lineage: Eukaryota; Viridiplantae; Streptophyta; Magnoliopsida; Rosales; Rosaceae
Description: long non-coding RNA (MDOM_LNC003124)
Source: RNAcentral